This 60-nucleotide transfer RNA is filed under the name Calophya californica. RNAcentral describes it as "tRNA-Cys". Lineage: Eukaryota; Metazoa; Arthropoda; Insecta; Hemiptera; Calophyidae. The record is from RNAcentral.
UGAUUUUUUAGUCAAGAAAUGAUAUUAAAUUGCAAAUUUAAAGGUAUAAAAUAUAAAAAU